UUUAACAAAAACAUGUCCUUUUGAUAAUAAUUUAAGGUCUAAUCUGCCCACUGAGGAAUUAAAUGGCCGCGGUAUUUUGACCGUGCAAAGGUAGCAUAAUCAUUAGUUUCUUAAUUAGAAGCUGGAAUGAAUGAUUGGAUGAGAAAAUAACUGUCUCAAGUUAAUUUUUUUUGAAUUUUAUAUUUAAGUUAAAAAGCUUAAAUUUAAUUAAAAGACGAGAAGACCCUAUAGAGUUUAAUUUUUAAAUUAAAUUUUGAGUUAUUGUUUUUAUUGUUAAAAUUUAAUUUAAAAAUUUUGUUGGGGUGAUAGAAAAAUUUAAUUAACUUUUUUUAUAUAUUAACAUUAAUUAAUGAAUAAUUGAUCCAAAAUUUUUGAUUAAAAGAAUAAAUUACCUUAGGGAUAACAGCGUAAUUUUUUUUAAGAGUUCUUAUCGAAAAAAAAGAUUGCGACCUCGAUGUUGGAUUAAAAUUAAUUUUUGGUGUAGAAGCUAAAAAAUUAGGUCUGUUCGACCUUUAAAAUUUUACAUGAUCUGAGUUAGACC
Molecule: ribosomal RNA, 541 nt
Filed under: Trichodes leucopsideus
Lineage: Eukaryota; Metazoa; Arthropoda; Insecta; Coleoptera; Cleridae
Description: partial 16S ribosomal RNA
Rfam family: Bacterial large subunit ribosomal RNA
Source: RNAcentral